This 253-nucleotide ribosomal RNA is filed under the name uncultured bacterium. RNAcentral's name for it is "partial 16S ribosomal RNA". It matches the Rfam family "Bacterial small subunit ribosomal RNA", at positions 524 to 775 of the family's 1533-position model. The record is from RNAcentral.
UACGUAGGGUGCGAGCGUUAAUCGGAAUUACUGGGCGUAAAGCGUGCGCAGGCGGUCUGUUAAGACCGAUGUGAAAUCCCCGGGCUUAACCUGGGAACUGCAUUUGUGACUGCAUCGCUGGAGUGCGGCAGAGGGGGAUGGAAUUCCGGCGUGUAGCAGUGAAAUGCGUAGAGAUGUGGAGGAACACCGAUGGCGAAGGCAGCCCCCUGGGUUAACACUGACGCUCAGGCACGAAAGCGUGGGGAGCAACAGG